This is a long non-coding RNA of Gadus macrocephalus (Pacific cod), 2843 nucleotides long. RefSeq lists it as uncharacterized. The record is from RefSeq and is a predicted model, not a curated record. Lineage: Eukaryota; Metazoa; Chordata; Actinopteri; Gadiformes; Gadidae. The transcript is spliced from 3 exons.
CUUGAUAUAAGGCCAUUGGAAACUGGCAAGGAGUCUGCAACCGCAGAAAAAACAUGUACAGGACCGUGCAAAACUCUUGGGCCACCAUUACAUCUGUUGUUUUAGCAAUGUUAUAACAUGAACUAGCCUAGAUGUUUGUCCUUUUAAUGCACUGAACAAAUUUCCUUUAUUUACUCCUUAAUGAAGAGGAAGAAAAAUACAUGGCUCUGUACAGCCACAAAAUUGCAGCAAGCUAGGUGGGCCAAGUCUUAAGCACGCUACUGUACUGUUUGUAAGAAAGAACAAUGAAAAUGAUCUGAACUUCAGAAGCAGAGGAAAACUGCAACUGCAGUUGUUAGUCCAGACAGACUAUCAAAACAAACAGACUUGGGCCAACGGGCCCUAACUCAGCAGAAACCUGUACUAUGUGGGGCUCCUCAUCGAGCAGUUGCAUCUACCUCUCACUACCACCUUUGCAUCAACUAUAUUUGACACUGAGCAUAUACAUAAUGUUAAUAAUAUGUCGCUGAUCGGACAAAAAAGGGUCACAAAUAACUAGCUGAACCUUUCCUUGGUUAACCUAAUGCUAAAAUGCUAACGCUACACACGGAGACUUCAUAGCCACCAUGGCUAAAUUAUAUUCAGAAUAUUAUAGUCUACACGUAACAAAUAUGAUAAUUUUACACACAUUUCACACAGACAAUAUUUCUGACGAUUUAUAUGGAUCGUAUAUGGUUUGCUUGUCAUCACAAAACAUGAAUGAGCAAGGCCAUUAAGUAGCCUACUGACAACAAAACACCUUAGAGUCUGUCCCCACCGGGUAGCAAAAACAGGUAUGUGUGUGUGUGUGUGUGUGUGUUCGUGCCCGUGUUGAGAAUUAGACCUACGCUCUCUGUCCAUGGGGCUGAAACACUGUGUCGAAAUGAAGUGAAGCGUUGUCACUUUGCUCUCCAAUAUUCAUUGUGAACGUGAUAUGUAGGCCUAUGUUGUAUUUUGGAGAGAGAGUGAGAGAGAGCGAGAGAGAGUGCGAGCGAGGUAUAAAACUCUUUAUAUGUAGGCCUAUUCGGCAUAUUGAACUGUCGGCCUAAUGCGCCUCCUUUUUGAAAAGUCUGACAAACGGACCAAUGGGUUCCGUUUUCGGAACAAUGAACCGUCGGCAUAAUGGCAUGUCGAUCUAAUGGGAAAUUUUUCGGACCAUUGAGACGUCGGAACAAUGAGGUGUCGGAAUUAGGGGCAGGCCCCGGAGGAGGACCCGUGGAGUGGAGGAGAUACAGGGCAGGAUUUCAGGGCUGCUGGAAUCAGUGUGGGAGCUGACAGACACUACAGGGCUGCCUCUGGUGAGCCAUGACAGCAUGCGCCACGUUUGGGAAGUGCAGCAGAAGCACCUGGAGUGCCUCCCGAGACCCUGCAGGUGUUGCACUGUACACAAAGGUGGGGACACUCCAGAAGGGCGGCAAAGAGCUGGACAUCCUUAGGUGUGGUAGGGGGUCCUCCUCCCUGGAGAGUUUUCACCGAUACCAGUGUGCUUUUAUUCCAGGUACAUUCGCAUCAAGACAUGCUGUAUUGUAUGUCUUUAUUUAAUGUUGUUUUCUGUUAUGACAGAGAAUGUGUUGUAAUUAUUCAAAAUAACACAAUUACCACUGUCGGGUAUUCAUAUGUAUUCACUUUACAUUCACGUUGACAUGAAAUGAAUGAAGAAUAUGGAUGUCUCUUUCACCGUUUAGCUACACCCAGAAGGCUAGGAAGAAAGGAAAGGAAUCAGGAGGACCGUGGAGAGCACCGAUGAGGCCGAGAGGCUCUGCUCCUGGAAAGCAGGCGGCAGAGAGACUAUACAUGACUCACAGCAAAGCAGCCCAGGAUCCCGAACACCACAGGGUCAGUGAGUGUGUCUGCCUCAGACUGGCCAAGGAGUUUGAGCAGUCACGGAACAGGCCCAAGGACACAAGGGGGAAAACCCUGUGUCUACAGCCACAUUAGACAGCUGCUGGAGGACAGCAGGGUUAUCGUGGUCCAGACGGCGCUGGCUCUGGUGCCGGUGAACAACACCACGGUCUCUGCAUGGCUCCUCAAUUGCAAGCUCCUCCAAAGUGCCCAGCCAAGGCAACGUGCCUGGAGGCUGAACAAAGCUGCCCAGGAGGAUGAGGAGCUAAUGGCAAGGGGGGAACCGCCACGGAAGAGGCUGGCAAAGGAGAAAUAUCACUACACCUGCAAGGGGUGUGGCCAGGACAAAAGCAAGCAAACUGGACACACCCAGCUGAAGGGGCGGUGUUACCGUCCAGAGUCAGGACAGACCCUGGAUGACUCGAGGAAGAGUGUAGGCCUAUAGUCACCAUCACUUGUCUCUCUCUCUGUUGUUUGUCUGUCUGUCUCUGUGUUGUUCGUGUCUGUCUCCCUGUCUGUUGUCGUGGAAAAAUCCACUGGGUUUCCACAGCUUUUAACUCCUCCAGGUUUCCACAGCUUUCUCUCUGCAGAAACAGAGCUGAUGAGAUGAUGAUGAUUCUUUAAAUCAGGGGUGCCCUACCAGUAGACCGCCGACAGAUCCCAAGUCGACCGCGAGGGGUGAAGAAAAAAAAAAUAUAUAUAUAUAUAUAUAUAUAUAUAUAUAUUUUUUUUUAAUAAAAUAAAAUUUGCGCGGGACAUAUACGCGCGGUAGCGCAUGCGCUGUCAACAGCAGUUGAAAGCCGUCAACAGUAGUUACACACUCCUAAACAUUGGCAUGGCUGAGGGUAAACGAGCCAAGACCUACCAUUUUCACCCUGAGUGGGAGGAAGAUUAUUGAUUAUCGUUGAGAAGGUGCCGUGCGCAGACGGAGUGAAACCCCCACUGAAGUCCGUAGGUUCACGAUACAACCCCCCCCCCCCCCC